AGAGAAUACUGGCCGUGCCAGUUCAGUGAUCUCUUGCUGCAGCCAUCCAUCCUGUGACAGUUCUCUUAUACCGGGUUGAUAUUCAAAUAGAUGAAGAUAAUACUGGCCAUACCAGUUUCAGUGAUAACUGAUGAUCAGAUAUGCCAUUCAUCCUGUGACAGUUCUCUCAGGCCACGUUGAUAGUCAAAUAGUUAAUAGUUAAAGGGAACACUGGCCGUGCCAGUUCAGUGAUCUCUGCUGCUGAUGCCAUCCUUUUUAUGACAGUUCUCUCAAACCAUGUUGAUAGUCAAAAUAAAUGAUGAUAAUCUGUCAGCGGACACUUGGUUGUGUGGUUAGAGUACCCGCGCCGUGAUUCGUUGAGUCGCACGUUCAAGUCUCUUGCUGGAAGUUCAUUUUGAAUUUUCGCCUUUUGCGCGGAAAACUGUUUCUGUUGAUUAUUUAAAUUCGUAUUUUGUAACCGGAAUUAUAUAUGUAUUGGUGUCGUGGUUAGCACGCUCGCCGUGUAAUCAUGAAGUCGGUGGUUCGAUACUCCAUCCAGACAAAUGUUUUACUGAUUUUUUUUUUCGCCAAUCAAUA
Long non-coding RNA from Daphnia pulicaria, 576 nucleotides. RefSeq lists it as uncharacterized. The record is from RefSeq and is a predicted model, not a curated record. NCBI's taxonomy places the organism in Eukaryota, Metazoa, Arthropoda, Branchiopoda, Diplostraca, Daphniidae. The transcript has 4 exons.